GUGGACUUCAACUCCCAGAAUUCCUCAGCCAGCGCAUGCUGGCUGAGGAAUUCUGGGAGUUGACGUCCACAAGUCAUAAAGUUGCCAAGUUUGCGGACCUCUGAGUUUAAGGAUCUGGGUUUCAUGCUGUGUUAUUCAAGUAAUACAUCCAGUCCAGGUUGUUUUGAACACCUAGGAAAGUUAAACAAUAACCCUCUCUUUGGUAAAGAUGCCCAAUAUAUGCCAGCUGUCACGAACUGUUUUGAAGGCAAGAAGUUGGCACAGCUCCUAUAGGAGUUCAGUUAUUAAACCCAGACCCCAAUUAUGAUAAAUUAAACAGGAUUUAAACCAUCUUCUUAGGAAAGUUAUUCUGAGUGGUGAAAUGUGUGUCCUGGACAGAAGAAAGAAUCUUUUGGGGGAGAAAAAGAUCCUAAAAUAAUUCAGAGUUUAAAGAAUCUGUGUUUUACCAAUUGCAAAGCAGCCCAAACAUGUUCACAUGUCUUUUUUUUAACUUCCUAGAAAGGUCCUGAAACAAGUAUAAAGAACAUGAAAAGAACUGGCUCUUAUUGGUAUUAAUUAAAAGCUAAUGGGUAGAAAUGUGUAUAUUUAAUAUUUCAAAAUAAAAAAAAAAGAUUGGCAUUGGUAAUUCAAUAGUUAGAAUCAUUCAUCCUAAUGGAAACAUCUCAAAAAACAUCUGUGGUACAAAGAACCACCUUUGGCUUUUCCUACAGCAUCUUUAUCUUGAAAUUCGACUGUUGGAUGUGACAUCAAAGUAAAAGUAUUCACACUUAGCUGAUAAUUGUUUAUUAAAAAAAAUGAAAUCUCACUGGUCACAUGAGCCAGCGGAAGCUUUUGAAAUGAUUGUUUCAUAUUGUUAUUUAAAGCAAAGCAUCUUAAAAGGAAGGUGAGAACAUAAUUCUGUUGGAUAAAAUAACGGCUUCAACUACGUCAAAUGCAUUAUAUCAAGAAAGCAAAGCAGGCUGAAAAAUGCUGUACAGAUACACUUCCACAGGAAAAACAAACAUGUUAAUUAUAGCAAAAUUGAAAUCAAUUUGCAACUAAACCUCAGUGAUCUUCAAUAUAUGUAAAAGCAUCCUUUGUUAAAUUGACAAAUUCAGCAGACUGAUGCAAACAUGCUCAAAAGCAAACUACUUAUUGCAUGUAAAUUACGCAUAUAUUCUAUAUGACGCCAGGGACAUUUUUUGUUCUGACAGACACUAUAGGAAAAAUAUUUGCACAAGCAGCUCAUAGAACUGAAAUAUACCCUUCUUAAAUAGUAAAUUAUGCUAUGUGGACCUAAACGAUAGAAGUCACAUGGCAGCUGUCGG
Molecule: non-coding RNA, 1307 nt
Organism: Notechis scutatus (mainland tiger snake)
Lineage: Eukaryota; Metazoa; Chordata; Lepidosauria; Squamata; Elapidae
Source: RefSeq, a predicted model, not a curated record